CACCGCGUGAGGGAAGAAGGCCUUCGGGUUGUAAACCUCUUUUCUCGAGGAAGAAUUUUGACGGUACUUGAGGAAUAAGUCUCGGCUAACUACGUGCCAGCAGCCGCGGUAAUACGUAGGAGGCAAACAUUAUCCGGAUUUACUGGGCGUAAAGAGAGCGUAGGUGGUUCCCUAAGUCAGAUGUGAAAUCUUCUGGCUCAACCAGAAGAUGCCAUUUGAUACUGUGGAGCUUGAGGGCAGCAGAAGGAAAUGGAAUUCCCAGUGUAGCGGUGAAAUGCGUUGAUAUUGGGAAGAACACCAGUGGCGAAGGCGAUUUCCUAGGUUGUUCCUGACACUGAGGCUCGAAAGCGUGGGGAGCGAAGCGGAUUAGAUACCCGCAUAGUCCACGCCCUAAACGGUGGACACUAGAUAUGGGAAGUAUCGACCCUUUCUGUGUCGAAGCUAACGCUUUAAGUGUCCCGCCUGGGGAGUACGGCCGCAAGGCUAAAACUCAAAGGAAUUGACGGGGGCCCGCACAAGCAGCGGAGCGUGUGGUUUAAUUCGAUGAUACACGAAGAACCUUACCAGGGCUUGACAUGUCAGGAGUAGGAGUCCGAAAGGAGGACCACCUGUAUCCAGUC
This 620-nucleotide ribosomal RNA is filed under the name uncultured bacterium. RNAcentral describes it as "bacterial SSU rRNA". It matches the Rfam family "Bacterial small subunit ribosomal RNA", at positions 395 to 1027 of the family's 1533-position model. The record is from RNAcentral.